AGCAAUCUGCCUUGGAGUGGGGAAUAACGGCCGGAAACAGCCGCUAAUACCGCAUGACGCGUCUGGGAGGCAUCUCUCUGGACGCCAAAGAUUUAUCGCUCUGAGAUGAGCUCGCGUCUGAUUAGCUAGUUGGCGGGGUAACGGCCCACCAAGGCGACGAUCAGUAGCCGGACUGAGAGGUUGGCCGGCCACAUUGGGACUGAGACACGGCCCAGACUCCUACGGAAGGCAGCAG
This 235-nucleotide ribosomal RNA is filed under the name uncultured bacterium. RNAcentral's name for it is "partial 16S ribosomal RNA". It matches the Rfam family "Bacterial small subunit ribosomal RNA", at positions 120 to 354 of the family's 1533-position model. The record is from RNAcentral.